Molecule: RNA transcript, 1795 nt
Organism: Helianthus annuus (common sunflower)
Lineage: Eukaryota; Viridiplantae; Streptophyta; Magnoliopsida; Asterales; Asteraceae
Exons: 2
Source: RefSeq, a predicted model, not a curated record
UUUUUUAUUUCUAUUUAUAUUUUUUUCUUUAAUGUACAACCCAUUUAGGGUUACAACAAAACAAACUCAUAACAAAAAACAAAAGCAGACUAAGGAACAAGUGAACAACAGUCAUCAGCGGCGCCUCCACCUUCAGCAACCACCACCGCUCGCUCCGGUCGUCCUCCUCCGCCGACAGCCUUCCUCCUCCACUCUAGCCGACAGCCUUCCUCCUCCGGCAGUUCUUCACAGAUGUCACAAAGAAAACAAUGAAAACUUAUUUGUGGUGGUGAAUUGUUUGGUGGGCCAACAUGUGUGACGCACUGAAAAGAAAUCUUUAGGUGUGAUUCUUUUGGGCUUUGGCCUCAUACGCAAGAAACAAUACAAAGGGUUUUUUGGUUGGUUAUUUAAUAAAGGGUUAUUGGAUUUUAUCACCUUCAACUAUCGAUUUUUGGACGUUGUCACCCUCAACUAACACUUUGACACCCGACACCUCCAACUUGACUUUUAGUUUGUGCUGGCACCACUCUGUUAACUCAUUACUAACAGAGUUAGUUUCUGAUCCUACGUUUCACAAACAAGCUUACGUGGACAUGAUGACAUGGCGAAUUCGUGGCACUAUAUCUCUAUAUAAAAACCUGCAUUGCUCAUAAGAAUGAUCUAAACCCAUUUUCCGACUCGUUAUUGCUCCGGCAACCGAUGAUAUCAGAUUCCAAUGCGUCAAUUUCACCCCCUUAGUGUUUCCGGUAGUUCUUUACGAGUACAAAAUCACCGUCGUAUCCUACUGCGAAACCAAAACGUCAAUUUUCACAUCAGAAAACUCAGAUCCGUUCAAUCGAUCAACUCGCAUCAUCGGUUAGAACUCAAUCGAUUCGAUUACAACGAUCCGGUUACUAAAUCCGGUUCUUCUGAUACCUUCUGAACCGAUUCAACCGUAGCGAAAAUAACCGCCAGUUUACAAAUCCGGAUCUGGCGCGAAAUCUCGGAGAUCAAGCUAGCAGGAUUCGCCGGAGAAAUGGUUACACCAACGGAAAGUAGAGAGAGAAACAAAAUCGGAAGAUAAGAUGAGUUAUGAGAGAUAAUAAAAGCACAAUUACCUUUCGUAAGAGACGGAGUACGGCGGCGAGGUUGCGUACGAAGAACUUGACGUCGGUGUACGGGAUACGGUGGCGUGUUGUGGCGUCGAUUAGCGAUCCGGCGGUUGUUUUGGUGGUGUUGAGGAGAGAGAAGAUGAAGUCAGUUACUGAUAAAUGUGUCGCUUGUGGAGGAAGAAAAGAUAGAGAUAUAGUGCCACGAAUUCGCCAUGUCAUCCUGUCCACGUAAGCUUGUUUGUGACACGUAGGAUCAGAAACUAACUCUGUUAGUAAUGAGUAACAAAGUGGUGCCAACACAAACAAAAAGUCAAGUUGGAGAUGUCGGGUGUCAAAGUGUUAGAUGGGGGUGGCAACGGCGAAAGGCCAAUAGUUGGGGGUGAUAAAAUCCGAUAACCCUUUAAUAAAUAUUAGAUGUAUGCAAGAAAGUGAUUAGGGUUUUAUGCCCCUGCCGACUUCUAUUUUGACGCAAGAGAAGAGAAGAAAAUUUGUGAUCUCCAUUCUUGGGUGUUGUGAAGACAAGAGGCGUUCAAAAGAUUAAACUACAAUUUUCUUUGGUCAUACUUCUUACUCGUCUUUUGUUUAUUUUGUUCCAUAUACUUUAAGUUUGUGCCAAGUAUAUGAUGUUUUUGUAUACCUUUAGUUUUACCUAAAAAAGACUUUUGUAUUGCUCUAUUUUGGUGAUAGUGGAUUUGAAGCGGCUCUAGUAGUCUCGUGGUUUUUUA